AUGCGAUUGAUUACUAUUUCUUCGCGUGAAUAUGAAUCCUCCACCAGUGCCUCAUAAACAACUAAAAAAAUAUUACAUAUAUAUGAAUCCUUCAAAAGAUAGGUUCGGAUCAAAUACUAAAGUGUGUCGAAGAAACUUGGUAUGAAACGCCUCUGCUUAGUGCUUAUCGUCGUGAUUCAUUCAGAUAUGUUUAUUUCGUCUUCGAAGUUGUUCUCCACCAAUUUAGCCAAAGCCAUCAACAUUGUUUACUUCAAUGAAGAUGAUAAAGCCGUAGAUAUUUUAAUCAAAACAAAGAUGAAAUGGAAUAAGAAAAAGCUGUUAAGGAUAUCAUUGGUAGACGAAAACAAGGAACCAAGGUGUGCAAAGACAUCCUUGAGAUAGAAGAUAUUAGUUAUUGUCUUAUCAAGAAGAAGGCAUGAAUUGAUGUAUGAAUUUAUUAUCUCUGGUUAAUUGGACAAUUUUUGUAGUUUGUAGACCCAUUCAAACCCCAGCAACAUCAAUCUGCAGAAGAAAAAGCCAGUUUGCAUAAUCUUCACUUUCGAAGGUCACGGAGAUCAUUACAUAAAACGUGUCAUGCAGUGGUGUAGAGGUUGGGGGAGAAC
This is a long non-coding RNA of Daphnia pulicaria, 602 nucleotides long. RefSeq lists it as uncharacterized. The transcript is spliced from 3 exons. The record is from RefSeq and is a predicted model, not a curated record. Lineage: Eukaryota; Metazoa; Arthropoda; Branchiopoda; Diplostraca; Daphniidae.